RNAcentral lists this ribosomal RNA (468 nucleotides) under uncultured bacterium. RNAcentral's name for it is "partial 16S ribosomal RNA". It matches the Rfam family "Bacterial small subunit ribosomal RNA", at positions 28 to 507 of the family's 1533-position model. The record is from RNAcentral.
GACGAACGCUGGCGGCGUGCUUAACACAUGCAAGUCGAACGGAAAGACCCUGAGAUUUUGCGCUUCUCGGUUGGGGAACGGGUGAGUAACACGUGUGUAUCCUAACCUUCUCUUUGGGAUAACUUCACGAAACGGGGGCUAAGACCAUAUAGCAUCUCCUGCACGAGGGUGGGCGUUGGAAAGUUUCGGCUGUUGGGGAUGGACUGGCGGGUUAUCAGCUUGUUGGUGGGGUAGUCGCUGACCAAGGCUUUGAAUGGUAGGCGGCAUGUGAGGGUGGACGGGGACAUGGGGACUACGAGACGCACCAGACGCCUAUGGGAGGCAGCAGUGGGGAACCUUGCCCAACGAGCGGAAGUGGGAUGCAAAAACGCUGCGGGCGUGAUGACGUUUUUUUGGGUGUGAACCGCUUUCGCUUGAGACGAAGCGUGAGUGACGGUAACGGGUAAAGAAGCACCGGCUAACUACGUG